Culex quinquefasciatus (southern house mosquito) is the source of this 210-nucleotide long non-coding RNA. RefSeq lists it as uncharacterized. Lineage: Eukaryota; Metazoa; Arthropoda; Insecta; Diptera; Culicidae. The transcript has 2 exons. The record is from RefSeq and is a predicted model, not a curated record.
AAGUUGGCCUCCUUCCGGGUCCGGGAGACCGAGCCCUUCCGCUGACCAUACGGAUCCUGAGCCCGAGGACGCAGCCUUGUGGCAAUUUACUGGACAGGAACAUGGCGGCAGCGAACUCACGCGGUCAUUCGGGCCUGCGAAAAACGAACACACCGGACCGCCAAAGCACAAAUGAAGAAACGAAGCAAAGUCUGACGAAGCUGUCACGAA